This 64-nucleotide transfer RNA is filed under the name Calyptogena rectimargo. Its description in RNAcentral is "tRNA-His". Lineage: Eukaryota; Metazoa; Mollusca; Bivalvia; Venerida; Vesicomyidae. The record is from RNAcentral.
AGUCAAUUUAGUUUAAAUAAAAUAUUAUUUUGUGGGAAUAGGGAAAUCGGUAGUUAAUUGAUUU